CCCCACAGCCAUAUCACUGUGCAGCCCAAGGCCGGUUACUCAGUGAAGCUAAGCAGGGCUGAGCCUGGUCAGCACCUGGAUGGGAGAUCACAUAGGAAAACUAGGUUGCUGUGGUGU
This is a ribosomal RNA of Danio rerio (zebrafish), 117 nucleotides long. The record is from Ensembl. Lineage: Eukaryota; Metazoa; Chordata; Actinopteri; Cypriniformes; Danionidae.